Molecule: ribosomal RNA, 495 nt
Filed under: uncultured bacterium
Lineage: Bacteria
Description: partial 16S ribosomal RNA
Rfam family: Bacterial small subunit ribosomal RNA
Source: RNAcentral
GACGAACGCUGGCGGCGUGCCUAAUACAUGCAAGUAGAACGCUGAAGGAGGAGCUUGCUUCUCCGGAUGAGUUGCGAACGGGUGAGUAACGCGUAGGUAACCUGCCUGGUAGCGGGGGAUAACUAUUGGAAACGAUAGCUAAUACCGCAUAACAGUAGAUGUUGCAUGACAUUUGCUUAAAAGGUGCAAUUGCAUCACUACCAGAUGGACCUGCGUUGUAUUAGCUAGUUGGUGAGGUAACGGCUCACCAAGGCGACGAUACAUAGCCGACCUGAGAGGGGGGUCGGCCACACUGGGACGGAGACACGGCCCAGACUCCUAGGGGAGGCAGCGGUAGGGAAUCGUCGGCAAUGGGCGGAAGUCUGACCGAGAAAGGCCGCGUGAGUGAAGAAGGAUGUCGGAUCGUAAAGCUCUGUUGUAAGGGAAGAACGAGUGUGAGAGUGGAAAGUUCACACUGUGACGGUAUCUGACCAGAAAGGGACGGCUAACUACGUG